Octopus sinensis (East Asian common octopus) is the source of this 464-nucleotide long non-coding RNA. RefSeq lists it as uncharacterized. The record is from RefSeq and is a predicted model, not a curated record. The transcript has 3 exons. Lineage: Eukaryota; Metazoa; Mollusca; Cephalopoda; Octopoda; Octopodidae.
GUGUGUGUGUGUUUGUGUAUGAGGAAGUGUGUAGUGUGCACGUGUGUACCGACCGGGUCAUGUGUAUAGAUGUACUUUUAGAUACACGCCGCUGUAUUACUUACUCUAUGAACGUUCAGUUGUGAAUGUUUUAUAUCGUUUCGCCUAGCUCUACCCUGAAUCGACGAAAAAGCUAUUGCAGACAAAACCUUAAACCUAGCUGACAGUAUUUAAAUAAACGGAGAAGCUAGUCCAGAGAAGACCUUGCACCUAGCUGAUAGUAUUUAAACAAAGAUUUAACUGAAAAAAAUGCCUUCUGCACUUCAAAACCUAAUUUGUUGUCGCCGAAAUGAUAGAGAAAUGGUUUCAUAUAAUGACAAGAACAUCCCGGAGAAGGACUUUUAUCCCGCGGAGGUGACAAAGAAGGAAAAGGUAAAAAAAUGCAAAGAGAAAAGUAAAAAAGAAUAUAAAAAGAAAAAGAAAAA